UUGAUAUCCGCAUAGCUGGUGGGGUGGUCGGCUGCUUCGGUUGGCAGCUCAAAAUGUGUUCAGAACAUUGAUAUAAGUCACCCAAUCUUUGGUACAGAAAGCUGCCUUUUACUCAACCGCGAUCCAGCCUUCCUUCAAUUCCGAUCAACGGUACAUGAGGACUAUCCUUGAUUCAUGAAGGAAUCCAACCUUUUACUCAACCGUAAUCCAGCCUUCCUUCAAUUCCGAUCAACGAUGCAUGAGGACAAUCCUUGAUUAAUGAAGGAAGCGGUAGUGAUUUCAACCCAGGCGUUUCGGCUGUGUUCUAUUCUGACCUAAAACACUCCUGUAAAGAUUUUGGUCUCUCAAGGCUCAUACCGAAUAAUGUCACUCAUUCGUCAAUAGCCCCUCAGGGAUUUUGUUAGAAGAUUGCCAUUCCUUGGAUCCCGAAAGAAAGUUAGCAACAAUGUGAGAAGAGAAUGUGCAUGAUGGUAAAAAGAUAAACAUAGAUGAAGAAGAUACAAUAUUGAUGAUGAUGAUGAUAAUGGCUGAAGAUGAACGAUGGCGGCAACAAUGGCUGAAUUAGGGUUCCGCUCAGAAUCUUUGAUAUUUCGGCCGGAAGCUAGGGUUCUAUGUUAGGUUCCAGCGACACAGGUAAGAUAAAUGGUCUUCGGGGUGGCUUUUCCGGUUGUAUUUUACCAUAUUAAUGAUUGCAUAUAAGGUAUUCAUAUGCAAAACGACUUAGGGUAUGUUGCAGAUUACUUAAUGUCUUCGCGUUACCGU
Helianthus annuus (common sunflower) is the source of this 762-nucleotide long non-coding RNA. RefSeq lists it as uncharacterized. NCBI's taxonomy places the organism in Eukaryota, Viridiplantae, Streptophyta, Magnoliopsida, Asterales, Asteraceae. The transcript has 3 exons. The record is from RefSeq and is a predicted model, not a curated record.